This is a long non-coding RNA of Columba livia (rock pigeon), 1231 nucleotides long. RefSeq lists it as uncharacterized. Lineage: Eukaryota; Metazoa; Chordata; Aves; Columbiformes; Columbidae. The record is from RefSeq and is a predicted model, not a curated record. The transcript is spliced from 3 exons.
CAUGCUAAGAAAACACAUCAAGCAAUACUGCUAAGCAUCUAACUUUUUUCCAAACAGCCGCCUUCCAGGCAGGGAGCAGGCCUGUCAUUUCAAGUAGUUUUUCAUCCCCUGCUCAAAAUCUAUAAAAAAAAUCUAUACGGUUUUAAGACAAACCUUCCCCCCCAAUAUAAUAAUCUUACAUAUAUAUUUUUUAAAAAAGCAUACAUAGAUACAGCGUGUGUCAGGAAAAGUGUCCCUGUGCUUUUGGCCAUCCUGCUCUGGGAAUAAAUAGCUUAUGCAUGAAGGAUGCAGGAAAAUUCUCCUCCUUGGAAUAGUUUCCUUCCCAGGGAGUACAGGAACCUGACCCAGAUCCCAAGGCAGCGGCAUUUGCAGCAAGCACCUUCGACAGGGGGAGCGACGGGGACUAUUUCUAUAUAAACAAGCCCAGGAUCAGCUGAAAUUGCUAUUCACUGGCAAACAAAAAUAAAGAGACAAUUCAGAAUCAAAGUUUGUCAUCAUGUCACUGGAGAGCAAAACAAAACCCCAGCCUGGCAUAGGCUGGGAAAGGAAAAACAGGAGAAGCCGUCUAUGCAGAAGAGAUUCUAGCUGAAGGAAAAGAAUCCCUGUACCUGAAGGCUGGCCAUGUUGUGCUGCACCUGACUUCUGGCUCACACACGAGACCGUCUGUUCUUUAUUUUCACUCUGUAUGAAGCUAAUGGAAUUUGCAGUUGAUUAACCUCAAACCUGAAGUAAUGAUCCAGCCUGGGACUGCAGCUGGCAAUGCCGGGGCUAUUUGUACUUCUUAACUGAGUAAGACAGCAACAAGUGUAGCGGCACAAAGGUAAAGAUCCCAGAUAGAUGGGUUAAUGUCAGAGGUGAAAUAAGGGAGUUGAGAAUGUGGCCUGAGAGCGCAUCCAGCAUCCCCCUCCCCAUGAAGAGAUGGGAGCACCAACUCUUUGAAAAAUUAAUCACAAGAUAAUAUAAUCAAAAGUAUAUGACUACACUUACUCAAUGGUAUUCUACAGGGGACACUCGAAACCCAAGAUUUACCCUUUCUGCACACUGAAUCUAUGCAUUAGAAAAAGGUCAUCUGAUGAAGAACAGCCUCUGUUGAAAUGCAGGAGACACAGGGUCCUAAAACUUCUCUACAACCUCUGUUUGUGUGAGAGAAAGCCAAGUCUUCAUUAGAUCGGCACCAGAAAAUAAAAUUCAGAAUGACACUGUAUUAUUUGUAUUUAUUUAUUUGUGCCGA